ACGUAAUAGAUACCCGGGUAGUCCUAGCAGUAAACGAUGACCACUAGGUGUGGGGGGUGUUGACCCCUUCCGUGCCGAAAGCCAAACGCAUUAAAGUGGUCCGCCUGGGGAGUACGGUCGCAAGACUAAAACUCAAAGGAAUUGACGGGGACCCGCACAAGCAGCGGAGCGUGUGGUUUAAUUCGAUGCAACGCGAAGAACCUUACCUGGGCUUGACAUGCAAUCGCAACACCAAGAAAUUGGUGCCUCCUUCGGGACGGUUGCACAGAUGCUGCAUGGCUGUCGUCAGCUCGUGUCGUGAGAUGUUGGGUUAAGUCCCGCAACGAGCGCAACCCUCGUCUUUAGUUGAAAAUCUAAAGAGACUGCCGGAAACAAACCGGAGGAAGGUGGGGAUGAUGUCAAGUCAGCAUGGCUCUUACGUCCAGGGCUACACACACGCUACAAUGGUCGUUACAGCGAGAAGCAACACUGCGAAGUGAGGCAGAUCUCUAAAGGGCGGCCUCAGUUCAGAUUGCACUCUGCAACCCGAGU
This 531-nucleotide ribosomal RNA is filed under the name uncultured bacterium. RNAcentral describes it as "bacterial SSU rRNA". It matches the Rfam family "Bacterial small subunit ribosomal RNA", at positions 773 to 1317 of the family's 1533-position model. The record is from RNAcentral.